RNAcentral lists this long non-coding RNA (252 nucleotides) under Elaeis guineensis (African oil palm). RNAcentral describes it as "long non-coding RNA (EGUI_LNC050894)". Lineage: Eukaryota; Viridiplantae; Streptophyta; Magnoliopsida; Arecales; Arecaceae. The record is from RNAcentral.
UGUUUCAACUAUUCUAUAAGGUCUUUCCCAAUUUGGAAAUAAUUUUUUUUGAUCCAAAAGUUUUGAGAUUUUUGCUUUCCUUAAGACCAAAUCUCCUGAUCAGAAGACCUUCGACUUGACUUUUGCAUUAUAAUAUCGGACUAUCCUUUAUCAAUAUGCAGCCCUUCGAACUUGAGCUUGCUAUCAGACUUUUGAAAGUAGAUCUAAAUCUAUUCUCUGACAUUCAGAAUUGCUCGACUCACUGUAUUAUUU